Long non-coding RNA from Micropterus dolomieu (smallmouth bass), 521 nucleotides. RefSeq lists it as uncharacterized. The record is from RefSeq and is a predicted model, not a curated record. Lineage: Eukaryota; Metazoa; Chordata; Actinopteri; Centrarchiformes; Centrarchidae. The transcript has 2 exons.
UGCACCUGGAUCCAUACUGCCGUAAUCCACGUGCAUGUGCUGUAUGUAUACGCCGUGUGAAUGUGUGUGUGCGCAUUAACGACGGACAGUCCUGAAUCUUGCUGAUAAACCAGCGCCCGCCGAAAAAUAAGAAACAAGUCAUCCCACUGUGUGUCCCAGUGGUCACUGGUCUCCAUUGAUAGAGCUCCUCCAAAUCCCUCUUCUUGGCUCCGACUCCGGCGAGACUGAUCAUCCUCCCCAGGAGAGAGAGAGACUGUGUGUGAGUGAAUACCUCCCCCCCCCCGUGCAGAGUGUGCGUUGGGCUGAUAGGUGACGGCGUUUCGUCGAGGUCAGAGCUGCUCCGCUGCAUUAAGAGGAUUGUCAGCGGCGAAGAGCAGGAGGAGUCGGCAGGAAGACCGACACAUGCACACGCACGGGGAGGAAGAAAACCUCCUCAAAUCAUUAGAAAUUAAUGUUUAUAUCAUCUCAGGUCCACUCUCACCUGAUCCAACAGAAAUAAUAAAAAUCUAUGAAAAAUGGCA